UCGGCCGGUGAACGAAACCGGAGGGAAGGUGGGGACGACGUCAAAUCAUCACGGCCCUUAUGUCCAGGGCUACACACGUGCUACAAUGGCCGGUACAAAGAGUUGCGAGACCGCGAGGUGGAGCUAAUCUCAGAAAACCGGUCUCAGUUCGGAUUGGAGUCUGCAACUCGACUCCAUGAAGUUGGAAUCGCUAGUAAUCGUGGAUCAGCACGCUACGGUGAAUACGUUCCCGGGCCUU
RNAcentral lists this ribosomal RNA (238 nucleotides) under uncultured Leptospiraceae bacterium. RNAcentral's name for it is "partial 16S ribosomal RNA". It matches the Rfam family "Bacterial small subunit ribosomal RNA", at positions 1147 to 1382 of the family's 1533-position model. The record is from RNAcentral. Lineage: Bacteria; Pseudomonadati; Spirochaetota; Leptospiria; Leptospirales; Leptospiraceae.